This 6267-nucleotide long non-coding RNA is filed under the name Triticum aestivum (bread wheat). Its description in RNAcentral is "long non-coding RNA (TAES_LNC019851)". Lineage: Eukaryota; Viridiplantae; Streptophyta; Magnoliopsida; Poales; Poaceae. The record is from RNAcentral.
UUUAUUUAUAAGCCCUUUAUGUGGUGUCGCAUAGACGCCCGACUGUGGCAUGCUUGUUAUUUCUUUUAUUUAUAAGCCUUUAUGUGGUGUCGCAUAGACGCCCGACUGUGGCAUGUUUGUUAUUUCUUUUAUUUAUAAGCCCUUUAUGUGGUGUCGCCCAGACGCCCGAUUGCGGCAUUGUUAAUUUAUUUGCACCCUUUUUCGAGGAGUCAUUUCAGACACUCGAUCACUACAUUCUAUUUCUAUAUUGCAUAUUCAUAUUUUACCCACAUGCGUGCAUCAUGGAUUUCGUAUAUUUCGUGAUAGACGUUGUGAUCAUAGAAUAUUUCGGAGCAUGUUUUGAUAUAUUAUACCCGUGUUAUUGAUGUUUGCGAGUACAUUCAAACGUAUUCACUGGCUUGUCCCUGGCUAUUGUCUUGGCCAGAUUUUCUUGCGUGGAGAAGAGCGCUACGACGACAGCCCCGGAACCUACGCAGUAUUGACAGCAGCCUCGCGAAGAUAGGAGUUAUCCUGGUCAGCUGUUCUUGUGGGAAAUGGAGUCCCAUAGGCGCAGAUGCACCACAAACCGCUUCCGCCAUCAACCACUAGAAACCAAAUGUUGUACUCCUAGGCCACAAUGGUCUUGUACUACAUAUUUUUGUACUUUGCUUGGAAUUCUUGUAUCAAGUUGGUGCCUCACCAGCUAACAGUAAUCCUUGGGCUGGUGAGCAUAAGGGCCAUUUUCUGGAGAAUUAAUAUCCCGAAAAUCCGUUCCUGACAGACUUGGUAUUAGAGCCAGGCUAACCAUUGGCUGAUCCUAUCUUAGCCUGGUCAAUAAACCUAGGUUAACCAACCCAUCAGACCUUAACCCAACCCGGGCCAAGCUUCUCGUGUAAGAUAGCCACACAGUGACCCCGACGCUUUUGGCAGUCGGUGCCCAACCUAUCAGCCUAGCCUGUCGAUCACGCGCCAGUGACCGACAUCUAACAUGUCUCAUUCGCAAGCGUGCGAAGGAAGACUCCGCCCCUUUUUCUAUAAAAAGGGUGCGCUAGCCUCAACCCAGCACAGCACAGCCUCUUUCCCAAACCCAGUCACGAUGCCUGGCCCCAUUGUUCACAAUGAGACCACAGCAACCAACCUUGGAGGUUUUGUGACCGUGCUCGCAAACCUCACCCGCCGUGCCUAUGCAUUAGAAGAGCCCCCAGAAUAUGUUGUGUACCAAGAGCUCAUGAGCGGUGAGAGCCGUCAGUUCUGGGCCACUGUACACAUUUAUGGUAGGGGUCUAUCGCCAGAACGCCCCUACAGGUUCGCUGGAAAGACCACUUCCUUUCAGCCGCAAGCCAUCCAACUGGCAGCUCGAGAAGCUAUAGUUCAGCUCCGGCACUUGUCGCCCAGAGUUAACUGUCGCUCGUUCUACUACUACCCCAGUCGUAGCGGGUAUGGUAGGCCGCCCCAGGUUGCCAACGGAGAUCACGAGACGGAUCCUGCACUAUUGCAUCUGGUGCGCUAUAUAAGUGCACUAGAGGAACUGUUCGAUCAAAUCACCCUUGAUCUAAUCGCAGCUCGUGGAGAACUAUUUCGCCGAGCCCCGACGAGAGGAGAAGGGGAGCCCGACGCCGACAACCCAGUCGUGCUGUUCGGACACCCAAUCGAGCCCUUGACGUCUGCUCCAGCCAUCGACCAAAAUACGUUGGUGUCCCCAGAAGCGCUUCGUCGCCUUUUGGGAACACGCUCCAACGGGAUUGUAGCCAACAACCCCCGCGAUGGUCAUCAUCGCUACCCCGACCCUGCAGCCCCUCAACCUCAUCCGGCUAAUCCCGACGGUGAAACCCGUGGAGAGGUUUCGACAUCCGCAAGGCCAGCCCGCUUAGAUAUUAACGGAGUAGACUAAGUCACUCGAGUAGUAACGAGCCUUAAUAUUUCUACGCCUUGUAAUUGUGUGAUCCUGUAUCACCAUUAUUAAAGGAUGUCUGCUUGUGCGCCCCCUUACCAGAGACGUUUUCUCAGGACCCUGUCCUUUUGCCCUUUUCAUUGUAAACGUCAUAGCUAUGUUUAUUUGUGUGUUGCAGCUUAUGUUUGUACCCUAAGUUUGUGCUAUGAGCAAACUCUUGUUUUCAACUUAUGCGGGUAUUUUUUUUUUAAAUCAACCCUUAGCAAAUCUCGAGGACGAGAUUUUUCUUAAGGGGGGUAGUGUUGUAACAACCCAAAAUUUUGACCCUGUUUUAUUAAUUAAAAUUUUGCCAGGAAAUUAAUUUUUUUAUUUUCCUGGAUUUCUCCUUUGAUUUCAGAACCCCUCUUCUCUUUAAUAUUGUGGGUUUUUACCUCAAGUGGAAACUUUCCAAGAGUAUUAUUGGACUUAUAUGCUCUCUUUAUAAAAUCAAUUCUAUAUCAGUGGAUUUAUUUGCAUAAUUAAUUUUCAUGAGCUUUAUUCUUUUAAAAUGAUCUUUCAUAAAUUUGGAGCCCCUUUUUGCACUACAACCUUUUGAUAAAUGCAUUUAAAAUUUUCACCAAAAUUCGGGGAUGACAUGUGAGGUUUCCACAUCACUUUUAUGCAAAAACAUCUUUUGGUUAUUGGAGAUUUUGAGCUCUACAUCAAUUUUUCAAAUCUGGUCCAGUAGGUAUUUUUGCACUACAACCUAUUUGAAUAUUCCUCUAAAAAUUCUUCCAAGUGCUUGGAGAUGUCAGUGGGUGCUCAUAAUUCAACUUCAUGCAAAAACCCAGUGUUGUUCUUUGAAAAAUUUGAGUGAAUCAACCUCAUCUUCAUUCUGGUCCAGUUUGGUGAUUUGUACUGCAACCCUAUUUUAUUUUGCUCUAGUGCCCAUUAGCUUUUUCCUACUUAUAGUUCUCCCUACCAAACCCUUAAGUCCAGGAGAUUGGACCCAUUGGAGUAUUUUUGGUGCAUGCAAUGAUAGCCUUUAGUUUCUGCCCAAAACUGGUUUUUCUCAAAAACUUGCACUAACAAAUUUUUGUUUUUGCCAAACUAACCUUACCACCUUCUUUAGCUCCUAAAGAGACUAGUAUCUGGAGAGUUUGGCCACCCCAAGAGUUGCGUAGAUGCCCACGGCAUUCUGUCGAACACCCUGUGUGCAGGGACAGUUUUGGCAUGUUUUCUAGUUUGCAAUGUGAGCUUGAGCCCCUGACCCAUCCAGCAUGUCCACUAACCUCCUAGCUAUCCCUAACCCCGGCCUGUUAACUACCAGCAUCACCCAAGCUCUCUAGCAUGAGCUGGCAUUUCGUCGAGCACCUGGUGUGCGUGCUCUGGCGCGGCCAGAGCGCGCGUUUUGCACGUGCGUGCGCACGGGUCGCCGCGUCGCACCCCUGGCCCUUGCUCGCCUGCAGAGCCGCGCCAUGCACUCGCCCACUCACCGGAAACCUCCAAGCCUCCCUGGCGCCCUACAGCGCCGCCGUCAGGGCUCCCUUGGCGGCACGCCGGCGUCGGCAGCGGGCUCUGCCGUGGACGGCGCCGCCCAAGCCACCCGCGUGCGCCAGCUGCCCCCUGGGAACAGCCCGAGCUUAUCCGCAAGCCGUCGGCACGCGCUCGUCGCCGCCACGUAGCCCUGCAACCACAGUACAGCGGUCGCCGGCGAUCUUAUCCUCGGCCGCCGCGGGACCGACCUCGAGUGCCUAUAUAAGGGGACCCCGAGCUCAACCGAGCACUCAGGCAACCCCAGGCCACCCCCAUAGUACUCCCGCAGCCAGCAAUCGACGGGGAGGGGCCUUCUUCCUCGUCUCCGGCCAGUUCGGCCGCCGCCGAGCUCUGGUGCAAUACGUCACAGCCAGGCCCUCCCCCGCCCAUCCAACGCCACCAACCGUCUCCCCAUAGUCAUGCGGAGCUGCCUAGCGCCUCAGCCUCGACCAAGGACUACCAUAGCCCGAAGCUCACUUUGCUCCCGAACCUCCGUCCGCCGCGGAGCUCGCCACCGGUGACUUCCUCCGUCCCCACCUGCCUAGCGCCCACCGAGAGGACCGCCCCGGUCUGGCGGAUCCAUACCUGCCCUCGGGGCCCUGUGGGGAGCUGCCGUUCGCCGACGGCGAUCGCCGGAGCCCCGCCCCUUUCGGGCAGAGAGAAAGGAGGGAGAGGAGGACCAGUCAAACCUGACCAGUGGGCCCGCUGGACCCACUGUCAGUGACCCGCGCGCCCGUCCUCUCUGGUUAAGUGAUAGCGCAAAGUCCCGAGUACGUCUCCUCUGCUUCGAAAGCGUAUUUUCCCCCGAAACGUUUUCUUUUCUGGUUUUAUUUAAAAACAGAACUUUGACUAAUCUUUGGCUGGCUAUAACUUUUAAAAUAAAACUCCAAAUGAGUUGAUUCUUUUUCCUACCUCUCUCAAAUUUCAUCUAGUUUAUUUUAAGAUUUAUUUCAAAAAUAUUUGGGUCAACUUUUUGUACUGUUUUUGAAAUGUGUGUUAUUUGAAUAUUUCUCAAAAUAGGAUUUUGGAGAUAAGGCAACCUUCAAAAAGUGCACCCCCACAUGCAUACACUUGAAGGCAAGCAUUCUGAACCCUGGCUUAAUAUUUUUGGAUGUUGUUGAUACGGUUACAACAUCACCUUGACUUGGAGCAUACGCUAUUUUAUGUGACGAUAAACUCAAACGCAUGAGUGCAAUAAAUGGAGAUUUCUUUGCUGUUAUAAAUGAAUAUGCCGGUAAUAGUGAUCAUCCUCGUAAGCUUCUCAUGCAUACCGGAAGGAAGUCGGGAAAGUCGCGGUCUUGGGUAGACGCGAACUUGUCCCUAGUUCCUCGUUGAGACGAGUAUGCCCGGUAUGGCAUGGUGAGGCCUGUUGAGUGUUAAGCUUAUCUGUUAUUGGAAAUAUUUUUGAUAAUCAUGCAGGGAAUACUUGAACCUCCCGAGUUGGCCGUAGAUCGAGUCUUGUUGCAGUAACCCCCAUACUUGCUUCGUACUACCACUUGUCCCUGCCAUAGGUAGGGUACGGUUCAGUAAGUUGUCAACCCCUUUCUAGCACACACCGUACAGAGAGGCCGUGAUGAGGGUCCCAUGGCCAUGGAUUAAAGCCAGUCAUCCGGUCCGGGGGCAUGGGUGUUUCGGUUGUAGCCGAAGGGGUAGCUCCCCUAGUUUGCGCGCGGUAUAAAUUUUGUGAUCCCAUGCUACGUCGAGGUUGUAGCCUCCCCACUUAGAGUUUCGCUUGACAGGUGUCGUGGGUGAUUCCAGGCAUCGGUAAGUUAAGCUAGUGUGUGCAGGUCAGGCGUGUUUUCAAUUAAAAGACCGUAGACGGAAUUAGUCCCGAUGGGCUAAAGAAAUCCGUUACCCGUGGGUAAAGAGUACACCCUCUGCAGAGAUUAUACAUCUAUUCAAAUAGCCGUGUCCAUGGUUAAGGACUACAGUCUGGGAUGGGUCAAGUGUCGGUCUUAGUGUCGGUCUUCGGAGGAAAAACUGUUAAACCAGAACUUGGAUCAUGACUUGUGACUUGUGAUGAUUAUGAUUACUAUUAUUAUGGACUAACCAUUUACAUUAUUUGAAUUAUUGCGUAUCCCUGGGACGGUUCUACCUCCUGGAUACCCACUGCAAAUAUUCUAUUAUAAGCCCUUUAUGUGGUGUCGCAUAGACGCCCGACUGUGGCAUGCCUGCUAUUUUCUUUAUGUUGUAAGCCCUUUAUGAGGUGUCGCUCAGACGCCCGACUGCGGCACGCUUAUUAUUUCAUUAUCCUUUAUAAGCCCUUUAUGCGGUGUCGCUCAGACGCCCGACUGUGGCAUGCUUGUUAUUUAUUUUAUUUAUAAGCCCUUUAUGUGGUGUCGCAUAGACGCCCGACUGUGGCAUGCUUGUUAUUUCUUUUAUUUAUAAGCCCUUUAUGCGGUGUCGCAUAGACGCCCGACUGUGGCAUGCUUGUUAUUUCUUUUAUUUAUAAGCCCUUUAUGUGGUGUCGCAUAGACGCCCGACUGUGGCAUGUUUGUUAUUUCUUUUAUUUAUAAGCCCUUUAUGUGGUGUCGCCCAGACGCCCGAUUGUGGCAUUGUUAAUUUAUUUGCACCCUUUUUCGAGGAGUCAUUUCAGACACUCGAUCACUACAUUCUAUUUCUAUAUUGCAUAUUCAUAUUUUACCCACAUGCGUGCAUCAUGGAUUUCGUAUAUUUCGUGACAGACGUUGUGAUCAUAGAAUAUUUCGGAGCAUGUUUUGAUAUAUUAUACCCGUGUUAUUGAUGUUUGCGAGUACAUUCAAACGUACUCACUGGCUUGUCCCUGGCUAUUGUCUUGGCCAGAUUUUCUUGCGUGGAGAAGAGCGCUACGACGACAGCCCCGGAACCUACGCAGUAUUGACAGCAGCCUCGCGAAGAUAGGA